GAUGAACGCUAGCGGGAGGCUUAAUACAUGCAAGUCGAGGGGUAGUCAUACUUCGGUGUGAUUAGACCGGCGCACGGGUGCGUAACGCGUAUGCAACCUGCCUCAAACCGGGGGAUAGCCCGGAGAAAUCCGGAUUAAUACCGCAUAAUAUUAUUGUCUCGCAUGGGAUGAUACUUAAAGAUUUAUUGGUUUGAGAUGGGCAUGCGUCUGAUUAGCUAGUUGGUAGGGUAAUGGCCUACCAAGGCAACGAUCAGUAGCGGGUCUGAGAGGAUGAUCCGCACACUGGUACUGAGACACGGACCAGACUCCUACGGGAGGCAGCAGUAGGGAAUAUUGGACAAUGGGCGAGAGCCUGAUCCAGCCAUCCCGCGUGCAGGAAGACUGCCCUAUGGGUUGUAAACUGCUUUUAUACAGGAGAAAAAAAGACCAAUGCGUGGUUUACUGACGGUACUGUAUGAAUAAGCACCGGCUAACUCCGUGCCAGCA
Molecule: ribosomal RNA, 486 nt
Filed under: uncultured bacterium
Lineage: Bacteria
Description: bacterial SSU rRNA
Rfam family: Bacterial small subunit ribosomal RNA
Source: RNAcentral